RNAcentral lists this small RNA (26 nucleotides) under Bombyx mori (domestic silkworm). RNAcentral's name for it is "ovarian small RNA-14159". Lineage: Eukaryota; Metazoa; Arthropoda; Insecta; Lepidoptera; Bombycidae. The record is from RNAcentral.
CGACAGCGUUGCAAACGGAAUUGUUG